UUAUAAUUAAAAGACCUCUCUAAAUCGAGUUGACUCUUUUAGGGCAUAUGUCUGAAAAUGAUGUUUUACUGCAUUUCUCACUAGCUUGUCUCUUUUGUCUAUUGCUUCUUUUGGUUUUAGGUCUUGUCGUUCAUAUGCUUUGUUAUUUUUUAUAGAGUAUGCGAGUAUGCUUGGUAUUGAAAACACAAAUUCUAAAGACAAAUUGAAGCUCUGCUUGAUGUUAUAAUCCUCCAGAGAGUUUAUAGUUGCUUCUUACAGGCAAGUAGUCUUAUGCGAUUGCAUCCAAGUUCUCCAUUAUCCAAUCAAGGAUAAGGUGAGUCAAAGGUGAGUUUUAGUUCUGAUGAAUAAAAUUUAGUUCUAUUCUUAGAGAAAGAUAGGAAUACACGGUUUCGAUUAAAUCCUGUAGUCUUUAACAACGGCCUUUUUCUAUUUGGUAGGUUUGGAAUUCUACUUCCCACUCUGCUCUAUGAGUCAGUGGAACACUAGUUUCUCAGCAUCUCAGAUGUCUCUAAAGUAACCUGCAAAAGUUGUGAAUACUGCUACUAAUAGAAAGAUAAUGUGUCAACAGAGAUGAAUCUAUAACUUGCACUGAUAAAAUGCCACAGGAUGGGUCAUUUGGAUCUGAAAGUGACUUGUGCCAAUGACAAGUGCUGCCUCUUAGCAAUGACUUUAAAAUUCAUGUGUGGUUCCUCCAAUGUUUUUUUUUUUCUUUCAGCCAUACUUUUCCUAAAAUGUCUGCUCUUUCAACGAAGACCUCAUGUAUCAGUCAGUGGUACCCUGCAGCCAAGCUAACAGUCAAGGGUAAUAAUGGAAACAAGAGGAUGGUUGGAGCUGAGAUUGAUGGAGCUGAGAAACUUACUUUGAACAAUCCUGAAGAGAUGGAGGCAGGUGAUUCUCAGCAUGGUAGAGAAAGAAAUAGCAGCCCAGAGCAGAAGCAGGAAGGCACUCAGGCUGAAUCCUGUCUGCUGUUCCCUCAUAAUAUGAUUCAACAGUAUAGAAAGAAGUACCAGAAAAUUAAGGAGGAAACCUACUGCCAUUCUUCAACUCCUGACACAUAGGUGGAAAGGGAAAAUAGUGGCUUCAGCCACCAGUGUGUUUGAAAAAUACACUUGGCCAUGACUGAGAACUGAUGUUAUUGUGAUAAAGAGUAAAUAAAGGAGAGAUAAAAUGGGAUAUGGUAGAAAGG
Molecule: long non-coding RNA, 1186 nt
Filed under: Vulpes vulpes (red fox)
Lineage: Eukaryota; Metazoa; Chordata; Mammalia; Carnivora; Canidae
Description: lncRNA (ENSVVUG00000001232.1)
Source: RNAcentral